CGGUGAGGUGCACCCGUGAUCAGCUCGGAAACCGGAUUGCACAGCGGAGAAGGCGCAGAAGAAGAAAACUCUGGACUUUACAGAAAGCCAUCUUGUGGUGAUAUGGGGGAGAUCCUAGCUUGCCCUAUAAACUUGGCUCAUGUGUAUGGCACCGAUGGCAACACCUACCCCAAUGAGUGUGCACUCUGUGUUCAGAGACAGUGAGUACUGUACAUACCUGGGUUAAGCAUUGUUUGAAAUCAUUUCAGAUACUUAAACUGGGCUAGGCUAUUUCCAAAACCCUGCCCAUCAGGCAUUCCGGACAAGUUGAAACACAAAAAGAAUUUGAACGAUUUCCCUGGAACACAGCUGCUCCUUUCUCACAGCCCUGUCCAACAUUGUCACUAUAAGGCUGAGAGAGUCAGUUUACAGCAACAACACUUAACAUGUCCAGUAAAACACUGAAGUACAAGGGACUGAAUUCAAUCAAACCAGUAUUUAAGGAAAAUCCACAUUCUGUAGGCUCCUACAAUGUAACGUUGUGCCCACUAAGGCGCUUCUGGAACCACGUUUCCAUCCACAGUUUAUACGAGUAAAGUCAAACCAUAUAUUUUUUUAAAUCAUUACAGCUGUGAUGGAAACAGGUAGUUUAGGUAAAAUUGUAUAAAUGCAGACAGAUAGGCCUAAUUUGUUGGCCAUGGUGGGAUCUUUUUGUGUCGUAUAAUGAAUUAUGCGAGAAAUGGUGGUGGAAACGUCUUUAAGCGUAAAUAUUGACAUAAUAACCAUAAUAUCAAAGUAAACUUGAAGUCACGCAAUGAUAUGGUGUGUGGUACUCCCACUACAAUUCGGGAAAGCAUGCAGAUUAUUAGGAUACAGAUUAAAUCAAUUAUGAACAUCACAGGAUGGUGAAAGUGCAAGAUGACCUUGAUGCUCCUUUCCAAUACCUAUCGAGGGUCUUAUUUUGGUGACAAGAUGAUCAAUGCUUGACUGCCGUUUGACAAGUAAAAUUAUUCUUGCUCUUAUCCAUAGUAAUCUCAUCAUAUAGACUAGUGUCACGCCCUGGCCUUAGUAUUUUGUGUUUUCUUUAUUAUUGUGGUUAGGCCAGGGUGUGACAUGGGUGAUUAUGUGUUUGUCUUGUCUAGGGGUUUUGUAGUUUUUGGGAUUGUGUUUAGUUAUUCUAGGUAAGUCUAUGGUU
Long non-coding RNA from Oncorhynchus tshawytscha (Chinook salmon), 1174 nucleotides. RefSeq lists it as uncharacterized. NCBI's taxonomy places the organism in Eukaryota, Metazoa, Chordata, Actinopteri, Salmoniformes, Salmonidae. The record is from RefSeq and is a predicted model, not a curated record. The transcript has 3 exons.